Long non-coding RNA from Epinephelus moara (kelp grouper), 2505 nucleotides. RefSeq lists it as uncharacterized. The record is from RefSeq and is a predicted model, not a curated record. Lineage: Eukaryota; Metazoa; Chordata; Actinopteri; Perciformes; Serranidae. The transcript has 2 exons.
CAUUGCUUUCACACAAAAUGCAUUCAGUGACCACAGUUACCAAAAUUCAUGAACUCUUUUCUCAGUCAGAGUUCACCACCUGCAAAACACUAUACUUUUAAAGCACAUUUUUUCAAAUGCUUACACACUUUGUUCAAAACAGUUAAAAACACAAUCAAAACAGAAUGAUGGAAAAAAUAAUGUGCAUUUCUGCUGCAGCCACCUUGAAAUCUAUAGAAAAUAAUAUCAAAAUAUUUACAAUAAAAUGAAAUAAUAAUAAUUCCAAAUGCAGCUGAGUGCAGUUUGCAGCUGAAAACCCACCCAGAUGACCUGUCUUGUCACUAUAGCAAGCAGAUAAAAGGGGAUGGCUUCUGAAUUUUGUUUUUUGGAAAUAUGGAUCAAAGAGGACAGAUUGGUGAAGAGAGAAGAGUGGCAAUGAGAGGGAGAAGAAGGAGAGGAAGACCAAGAGCUGUGGUCUCUGAUGAGAUAAGAGCCACAGUUACAGUUUUUCUCAGUUGCUUUAAUGUAUUUCUCUGAUCAGAAUUAAAAUUCUCAUAACUGUUAGUUCAACCUCCACAACAUUUAGUCAUUUGUGCACGUCAUAAUAGCAGUUUCUCAUUCCUUCCAACAAAUUGCAAAUGCUUUUGGACAUGCAUCAAUUGCUUUCAUACAAUUCUCUGCUGUUUUAUGACAUUAUCAUUUGCUUAUGUCAUGUCAGUCAAAAUGAACUAUACUUAUGAAUGCUGAAUAGUCAGUCCCUAUAAAACUAAUAGUCCUCAUUUCAUUGCUUGAGUCAUUACAUACAAAAAUGUUGAACUAAUUGUCAAAAUCUGUCAAGCAAAUUUUAUACAUUUCUUUAUCAUUUUUUCCUGAAAAUGUCUCCUAAACUGAACAAUUUCUCUCAGGUGAACCUCAGCUUUCACUGAUGAGGAGGAGUGUGUGAAGCAUUAGUUGUAACCAAUCAUAAGCCACUUCUCCACAGUCACUCAAAGCUAAAUCCCAUUGGCAAACAUAUAUGAACCAAACAGGACAUAGUGUGUACCAUUUCUAUUAUACUGUGACACAGAAAUGGAAGGUCAGCGUCGUGGAAGAGCGGUGAGGAUGCGGGGAGGAAGGGGAAGGGGACAAAACAGGGGAAGAGGAAGAAGAGGCCAAGUAUAUAAGCGGAUUUCUGAUGACAUUAGGGCUACAAUCGUGGACCAUGUUGUCAAUCACGGCCUCACAAUGGCUGAGGCUGGUCGAAGGGUGCAGCCAAAUGUUGGGAGAACCACUGUAAAUUCAACAAUUCAAACAUUUUGCUGGGAGAACAGGUGUGUAUAUUGGACAGUAAUUCAGCACUAAACAAUCUGCACUGCACUACUGUCAUUGUGUCAUACAUGAAACUUACAGUGGGACAAGAACUUGUCACUUUUUACAUUUAACAUUUAGACUUACAGCUUUACUGCAGCACAGAUUUACUGUAUUGUAGUGUACAGUAGUGUUACAGUAAAGAUUUGCCAUAUUUGGAAGCACUGUUAUUGUACACUACAGUAAUAUGGGUUAAUGCAGUGUAUCUCAUGUUUACUGUACAUUACUGUAAUUUUACUCUGCACCACAUAGGAUUGCAAGACAACCUUGCGGAGGUGGAAGAAGGCCCCUUUUUACUCCGGAACAAGAGGAAGCCAUUUGUGCAAUGCGUGUACUGGAGCUGGAGACCAGGGAACCGCUGCACACAUUCAUGUACCUUGAUGAGGCGGGUUUCAAUCUGGCAAAAGGUAGAAGGCGUGGAAGAAAUCGCACUGGACAGAGAGCAACCAUUGAUGUCCCAGGCCAACGAGGAGGGAAUAUUACAAUGUGUGCAGCCAUCUCAGAAAACGGCGUCCUCACCCAUAUCCCCCUUUUUGGUCCAUACAACACACAACAUCUGCUGACCUUUUAAGACACUCUUUACAGGGACAUAAUCCCUGAGAAUGAGAGGGGUCUAAUUGGAGAGCAUCUGAAUAAGUAUGUUGUUGUUUGUGAUAAUGUGCGUUUUUACCACUCAGAUCUGGUCAGACAGUGGUUUGCGGUACACGACAGGAUGCUGGUGGAAUAUCUCCCUCCCUACUCCCCAUUCCUGAAUCCGAUAGAGGAGUUUUUCUCUGCCUGGAGGUGGAAGGUAUAUGACCGGCAUCCACAUGCCCAAAUGGCCCUGCUAGCGCCCAUGGAUGCAGCAUGUGAAGACAUUACAGCAGAGUCCUGCAGAGGGUGGAUUCGCCACUCCAGGAGAUACUUUCCUCGCUGCAUUGCAAGGGAUGAUAUUCGGUGUGACGUAGAUGAGAAUAUAUGGCCAGACAGACAGGAAUGUCUGGAUGUGCGUGAAUGAUACUGUGUAUGUUGUAUGUUCCAAUAUGUACUGCAAUAUUGUUUACAGUUGUGCAUUUGUGCAGUUGUGCACAGCUCUACCCAAAGGGUGUUUCUUAUGUUUGUUGUCAAUAAGUAAGUGUGUAUUUUUCUUUUGCACAAUGCUGUGAACAAAUUAGAAUUGCAGUAAAACUAUGAAACAUA